GCCAAGCUUGCUUGGUGGAUCAGUGGCGAACGGGUGAGUAACACGUGAGCAACCUGCCCUGGACUCUGGGAUAAGCGCUGGAAACGGCGUCUAAUACUGGAUAUGAGCUCUCAUCGCAUGGUGGGGGUUGGAAAGAUUUUUCGGUCUGGGAUGGGCUCGCGGCCUAUCAGCUUGUUGGUGAGGUAAUGGCUCACCAAGGCGUCGACGGGUAGCCGGCCUGAGAGGGUGACCGGCCACACUGGGACUGAGACACGGCCCAGACUCCUACGGGAGGCAGCAGUGGGGAAUAUUGCACAAUGGGCGGAAGCCUGAUGCAGCAACGCCGCGUGAGGGAUGACGGCCUUCGGGUUGUAAACCUCUUUUAGCAGGGAAGAAGCGAGAGUGACGGUACCUGCAGAAAAAGCGCCGGCUAACUACGUGCCAGCAGCCGCGGUAAUACGUAGGGCGCAAGCGUUAUCCGGAAUUAUUGGGCGUAAAGAGCUCGUAGGCGGUUUGUCGCGUCUGCUGUGAAAUCCCGAGGCUCAACCUCGGGCCUGCAGUGGGUACGGGCAGACUAGAGUGCGGUAGGGGAGAUUGGAAUUCCUGGUGUAGCGGUGGAAUGCGCAGAUAUCAGGAGGAACACCGAUGGCGAAGGCAGAUCUCUGGGCCGUAACUGACGCUGAGGAGCGAAAGGGUGGGGAGCAAACAGGCUUAGAUACCCUGGUAGUCCACCCCGUAAACGUUGGGAACUAGUUGUGGGGACCAUUCCACGGUUUCCGUGACGCAGCUAACGCAUUAAGUUCCCCGCCUGGGGAGUACGGCCGCAAGGCUAAAACUCAAAGGAAUUGACGGGGACCCGCACAAGCGGCGGAGCAUGCGGAUUAAUUCGAUGCAACGCGAAGAACCUUACCAAGGCUUGACAUACACCAGAACACCGUAGAAAUACGGGACUCUUUGGACACUGGUGAACAGGUGGUGCAUGGUUGUCGUCAGCUCGUGUCGUGAGAUGUUGGGUUAAGUCCCGCAACGAGCGCAACCCUCGUUCUAUGUUGCCAGCACGUAAUGGUGGGAACUCAUGGGAUACUGCCGGGGUCAACUCGGAGGAAGGUGGGGAUGACGUCAAAUCAUCAUGCCCCUUAUGUCUUGGGCUUCACGCAUGCUACAAUGGCCGGUACAAAGGGCUGCAAUACCGUGAGGUGGAGCGAAUCCCAAAAAGCCGGUCCCAGUUCGGAUUGAGGUCUGCAACUCGACCUCAUGAAGUCGGAGUCGCUAGUAAUCGCAGAUCAGCAACGCUGCGGUGAAUACGUUCCCGGGUCUUGUACACACCGCCCGUCAAGUCAUGAAAGUCGGUAACACCUGAAGCCGGUGGCCCAACCCUUG
This 1359-nucleotide ribosomal RNA is filed under the name Actinomycetes bacterium. Its description in RNAcentral is "bacterial SSU rRNA". It matches the Rfam family "Bacterial small subunit ribosomal RNA", at positions 73 to 1444 of the family's 1533-position model. Lineage: Bacteria; Bacillati; Actinomycetota; Actinomycetes. The record is from RNAcentral.